UGUAACAGCAACUCCAUGUGGACUGUAAUAGUUUCCAGUGGAGAUGCUGUUACUUU
RNAcentral lists this microRNA precursor (56 nucleotides) under Microcaecilia unicolor. RNAcentral describes it as "Mun-Mir-194-P2_pre stem-loop". It matches the Rfam family "mir-194 microRNA precursor family", at positions 14 to 72 of the family's 82-position model. Rfam says of the family: The hairpin precursors (represented here) are predicted based on base pairing and cross-species conservation -- their extents are not known. In this case the mature sequence is excised from the 5' arm of the hairpin. Lineage: Eukaryota; Metazoa; Chordata; Amphibia; Gymnophiona; Siphonopidae. The record is from RNAcentral.